GCAUAUCAAUAGCGGAGGAAAAGAAACCAACAGGGAUUGCCCUAGUAACGGCGAGUGAAGCGGCAACAGCUCAAAUUUGAAAUCUGGCUUUCGGGCCCGAGUUGUAAUUUGUAGAGGAUACUUUUGAUGCGGUGCCUUCCGAGUUCCCUGGAACGGGACGCCAUAGAGGGUGAGAGCCCCGUCUGGUUGGAUGCCAAAUCUCUGUAAAGUUCCUUCGACGAGUCGAGUAGUUUGGGAAUGCUGCUCUAAAUGGGAGGUAUAUGUCUUCUAAAGCUAAAUAUUGGCCAGAGACCGAUAGCGCACAAGUAGAGUGAUCGAAAGAUGAAAAGCACUUUGAAAAGAGAGUUAAAAAGUACGUGAAAUUGUUGAAAGGGAAGCGUUUAUGACCAGACUUGGACUUGGUCAAUCAUCUGGGGUUCUCCCCAGUGCACUUUUCCAGUUCAGGCCAGCAUCAGUUUUCGCCGGGGGAUAAAGGCUUCGGGAAUGUAGCUCUCUUCGGGGAGUGUUAUAGCCCGUUGUGUAAUACCCUGGCGGAGACUGAGGUUCGCGCUUCUGCAAGGAUGCUGGCGUAAUGGUCAUCAACGACCCGUCUUGAAACACGGACCAAGGAGUCGUCUUCGUAUGCGAGUGUUCGGGUGUCAAACCCCUACGCGUAAUGAAAGUGAACGCAGGUGAGAGCUUCGGCGCAUCAUCGACCGAUCCUGAUGUUCUCGGAUGGAUUUGAGUAAGAGCAUACGGGGCCGGACCCGAAAGAAGGUGAACUAUGCCUGUAUAGGGUGAAGCCAGAGGAAACUCUGGUGGAGGCUCGCAGCGGUUCUGACGUGCAAAUCGAUCGUCAAAUAUGGGCAUGGGGGCGAAAGACUAAUCGAACCUUUCUAGUAGCUGGUUUCCGCCGAA
RNAcentral lists this ribosomal RNA (897 nucleotides) under Fusarium lateritium var. lateritium. RNAcentral describes it as "LSU rRNA". It matches the Rfam family "Eukaryotic large subunit ribosomal RNA", at positions 38 to 965 of the family's 3401-position model. The record is from RNAcentral. Lineage: Eukaryota; Fungi; Ascomycota; Sordariomycetes; Hypocreales; Nectriaceae.